Molecule: ribosomal RNA, 520 nt
Filed under: uncultured Glomus
Lineage: Eukaryota; Fungi; Glomeromycota; Glomeromycetes; Glomerales; Glomeraceae
Description: SSU rRNA
Rfam family: Eukaryotic small subunit ribosomal RNA
Source: RNAcentral
AGCAGCCGCGGUAAUUCCAGCUCCAAUAGCGUAUAUUAAAGUUGUUGCAGUUAAAAAGCUCGUAGUUGAAUUUCGGGAUCAAUAUGUUGGUCGUGCCUCGGUACGUACUAGCUUAUUGGUUUCUCCUUUCUGAAGAACCAUGAUGUCAUUUAUUUGGUGUCGUGGGGAAUCAGGACUGUUACUUUGAAAAAUUAGAGUGUUUAAAGCAGGCUCACGCUUGAAUACAUUAGCAUGGAAUAAUGAAAUAGGACGUUUGAUUCUAUUUUGUUGGUUUUUAGGAUCGACGUAAUGAUUAAUAGGGAUAGUUGGGGGCAUUAGUAUUCAAUUGUCAGAGGUGAAAUUCUUGGAUUUAUUGAAGACUAACUACUGCGAAAGCAUUUGCCAAGGAUGUUUUCAUUAAUCAAGAACGAAAGUUAGGGGAUCGAAGACGAUCAGAUACCGUCGUAGUCUUAACCAUAAACUAUGCCGACUAGGGAUCGGAUGAUGUUAAUUUUUAAUGACUCAUUCGGCGCCUUACGGG